AUUACAUGUGAUCUUGGAAAAAGAAAAACUUGAUUUUCUUUUUGUUAUUCUUCAACGUGUGGCAUGUGAAUAUUCAACAGCAAUAGGGUUGGAAUAAAGCAUAAAUAUACUUUAAACAGCAGCCAAGUUGAUCUCAUUAGACAGUUGCCAUUUAAAUGGCAGAGUUUGUUUAUUUAUAUACAUUAUUCCAUCAAGUUCAUAUUAGACAAUGACAGUGGCCAUAUGUGAUCGCC
Molecule: non-coding RNA, 233 nt
Organism: Pelobates cultripes (western spadefoot toad)
Lineage: Eukaryota; Metazoa; Chordata; Amphibia; Anura; Pelobatidae
Source: the annotation of a GenBank genome assembly